This 75-nucleotide small RNA is filed under the name Klebsiella pneumoniae. Its description in RNAcentral is "partial RtT sRNA". It matches the Rfam family "RtT RNA", at positions 1 to 75 of the family's 130-position model. From Rfam's summary of the family: This family represents a bacterial cis-regulatory element known as RtT RNA. The record is from RNAcentral. Lineage: Bacteria; Pseudomonadati; Pseudomonadota; Gammaproteobacteria; Enterobacterales; Enterobacteriaceae.
UAUUCUGCCCCACGGGGAAGGAUGAGAAGCUUCGACUAAGGUUCGACUCGAGCGAAGCGAGAGAACGUUGCCGCA